Molecule: ribosomal RNA, 442 nt
Filed under: uncultured bacterium
Lineage: Bacteria
Description: partial 16S ribosomal RNA
Rfam family: Bacterial small subunit ribosomal RNA
Source: RNAcentral
CCUACGGGUGGCAGCAGUGGGGAAUAUUGGGCAAUGGGCGCAAGCCUGACCCAGCAACGCCGCGUGAAGGAAGAAGGCUUUCGGGUUGUAAACUUCUUUUGACAGGGAAGAGUAGAAGACGGUACCUGUCGAAUAAGCCACGGCUAACUACGUGCCAGCAGCCGCGGUAAUACGUAGGUGGCAAGCGUUGUCCGGAUUUACUGGGUGUAAAGGGCGUGUAGCCGGGUUGACAAGUCAGAUGUGAAAUCCUGCGGCUUAACCGCAGAACUGCAUUUGAAACUGUUGAUCUUGAGUACUGGAGAGGCAGACGGAAUUCCUAGUGUAGCGGUGAAAUGCGUAGAUAUUAGGAGGAACACCAAUAGCGUAGGCAGGUUACUGGGACGGUUCUGACACUAAGGCACGAAAGCGUAGGGAGCAAACGGGAUUAGAUACCCCUGUAGUC